RNAcentral lists this ribosomal RNA (495 nucleotides) under uncultured bacterium. Its description in RNAcentral is "partial 16S ribosomal RNA". It matches the Rfam family "Bacterial small subunit ribosomal RNA", at positions 28 to 523 of the family's 1533-position model. The record is from RNAcentral.
GAUGAACGCUGGCGGCGUGCUUAACACAUGCAAGUCGAGCGAAGCACUUAAGUUCGAUUCUUCGGAUGAAGACUUUUGUGACUGAGUGGCGGACGGGUGAGUAACGCGUGGGUAACCUGCCUCAUACAGGGGGAUAACAGUUAGAAAUGGCUGCUAAUACCGCAUAAGACCACAGUACUGCAUGGUACAGUGGUAAAAACUCCGGUGGUAUGAGAUGGACCCGCGUCUGAUUAGGUAGUUGGUGAGGUAACGGCCCACCAAGCCGACGAUCAGUAGCCGACCUGAGAGGGUGACCGGCCACAUUGGGACUGAGACACGGCCCAGACUCCUACGGGAGGCAGCAGUGGGGAAUAUUGCACAAUGGGCGAAAGCCUGAUGCAGCGACGCCGCGUGAAGGAUGAAGUAUUUCGGUAUGUAAACUUCUAUCAGCAGGGAAGAAAAUGACGGUACCUGACUAAGAAGCCCCGGCUAACUACGUGCCAGCCGCCGCCGUAA